RNAcentral lists this ribosomal RNA (568 nucleotides) under uncultured archaeon. RNAcentral describes it as "bacterial SSU rRNA". It matches the Rfam family "Archaeal small subunit ribosomal RNA", at positions 311 to 879 of the family's 1478-position model. The record is from RNAcentral.
CGCGAAUUCGCCCUUCGGGGUGCACCAGGCGCGAAAACUCUACAAUGCAGGCAACUGCGAUAGGGGAACAUCGAGUGAUACUCAUCUUGGGUGUCUGUCCUCCCGUCUAAAAAACGGGAGUUAGCAAGGGCCGGGCAAGACCGGUGCCAGCCGCCGCGGUAAUACCGGCGGCUCGAGUGGUGGCCGAUAUUAUUGAGUCUAAAGGGUCCGUAGCCGGCUUUGCAAGUCUUUUGGGAAAUCCAGCGGCUUAACCGUUGGUCGUCCGGGAGAUACUACAUUGCUUGGGACUGGGAGAGGUAGGAGGUACUCAGGGGGUAGGAGUGAAAUCCUGUAAUCCUUUGGGGACCACCGGUGGCGAAGGCGUCCUACCAGAACAGGUCCGACGGUGAGGGACGAGAGCUAGGGGCACGAACCGGAUUAGAUACCCGGGUAGUCCUAGCCGUAAACGAUGCUCGCUAGGUGUCACAACAAUCGUGAAUUGUUGUGGUGCCGUAGGGAAGCCGUGAAGCAAGCCACUUGGGAAGUACGACCGCAAGGUUGAAACUUAAAGGAAUUGGCGGGGGAGCAC